RNAcentral lists this small nucleolar RNA (128 nucleotides) under Carlito syrichta (Philippine tarsier). RNAcentral describes it as "Small Cajal body specific RNA 15 (ENSTSYG00000025178.2)". It matches the Rfam family "Small Cajal body specific RNA 15". Rfam says of the family: scaRNAs are a specific class of small nuclear RNAs which localise to the Cajal bodies and guide the modification of RNA polymerase II transcribed spliceosomal RNAs U1, U2, U4, U5 and U12. ACA45 belongs to the H/ACA box class of guide RNAs as it has the predicted hairpin-hinge-hairpin-tail structure, the conserved H/ACA-box motifs and is found associated with GAR1. Lineage: Eukaryota; Metazoa; Chordata; Mammalia; Primates; Tarsiidae. The record is from Rfam by way of RNAcentral.
AUGAAGAUAUUUUAAAAAGACAAGCUGAAGUCAAGCUGACUCUGCUUUUAACCUCCUUACGUGAAAAGGUAGAUAGAACAAGUCUUGUAUGAAAAAUAGGUUCAAGACCUACUUAUCUACCAACAGCA